CCUGGGCUCCCACCCGCCGCCCCCCCCCCCCCACUCCCAGAGCCACCAGACCUCCCUGGCUGGAGGUGUACACAGGCAAGUGCCCAGUUUUAUUAAAAUAAUCAAACAGUCACUGGGGGCUGGCUGGGGUUUCAUCUCUACUCGGCUCCUCUCUCUGCCCUCCCCUUGUCUGAAAUGUAUUAUUUGGAGGGUCGGGUUGAAGAGGUCAAUAGAAGCGUAAACACAGUCAGUAGGUCUUAGCCUGAGCAGACCCAGCUUGGAAAAUCAAGAAUUAGUGCUUGGAACACAUGUCAGGGUUCCUGUUUCUAUUUCUCCUUCGUAUCUCCAUCACCCUGAUCUUUACUCAGGCUUGGUCUAGAGAUUCAGGCCUGCAGGCCAAGGUCUAGGGAGAAGGGUGGAGGCAGGAGAACCACCCUGGAGAUCGGAAGCCACCUCAGAAGACCACAGAAGUGUGAUCUUCUGUGGCUCCUGGGAACUACAAUCCCAGGGCAGGCCUGACGCAUCGCUGCAGAAUUCCAGAGUGGAGGACUGUCCAACCCUAAAAUCGGGGCAACCAGCAAGCAAACCAAGCCCAGCAGUCUCUAGAGUUCUCACUCCACCUUCCAGCGCAGAAGCGGGGAGUGACGCCCAGCUGGGAAGGAUGUGUUCAGGUGGAGAGUUUGGAAAGGACCCCCCCCAAGAGAGACCCCUUUUAGGCCAAGCCUUCUUCCAGCGUCUGUCAAGGGUAGUAAAUACUGGUACCUCCCAGCUCGAAGUUGGUUUGUGGUCCUCGACAAAUUAAAUAUUACUGUUUAUUACCAGGCAUACCCCAAUAAAAUAAAGAGGCGACCAGGCGAUACGGACUAUCUCACCAGCCGCUGCACCUAUAGGACGUGGAGACGUCACGAGUCACGCAACCGGCCCGCGCGCUGUCACGCUCGAUUGGGGGGCAGCGGCGGGAUGUUGAUUUCUCGAAUCCCCGACUUCCCCUACGACUCCCACCAGGGGUCUGCGCAACCACAAGUCCCAGACGCGUGGGCCAGGGGAAAAAUAAAGAAAUAAACAAAUCCAACUCUCUCUGGGGAAAAUGGGGGUAGCGGACAGCAUCCCCAAAUAGAACCAAGAUCGAUUUUCUUAGGGAGGGAGGAGGGGAGCUUUGGGCGAACGGAGGUGAGAAUCCCACCUCAGCCCAAAGAUUAGAAAGAAAUCGAGUUGGGGGUAAGGGGGGCAGGAAUCGAGGUCUCCUGAAGGAGGUUAAGAGAAUCUUUUUUUUUUUUCCCCCUAAUUUUCUCAGGAGGAGCUCUCAGCAUUGGCGUUUGAGGCGCCUCUAUAACUGGUUAAGUUUGGGACGCGAUAACUUAGUGCCCUCUUGCAGACGUGCAUAGAAGCAAUUACUGGGUUAUCGCACAGAGGAAAAGAGACAGAGACGUUAGGACGAAGAGUCGUCCCCAGUGUUUCUGGCUGAGAAAAAGCCACAUUCUGCAAAUCCUCCUUUAGCUGGGUCUGGGGAUGAAGCUAGUCCCAGCGUGGCCCGGCGGGGGUGGGGUGCGAUUGGGUGGUGGAGGAGGGGAGAGGAGAAGGGUGAUUUCUGUAGAGAAAAAUUGCAGUGCCGGAUCCUGUAGAAGGACGAGGCGCUCUAUUUUGUUUUGUAAUAACGAUCAUCAUUAUUAUUGGUCUCAUCAGUGGGCAUAACUUCUAAGCAGCCCCGUGGUGGCUGCGCAUAAGCCUUUGCGCGCAGCUGGAAAUGCACUGGGUUCAGGGGUGAAACGUACCCCAUAGACGUCCCCGGCAGCGCCGAGAAGAGAGGUAGGCCUACCCAACUCCUAGCGAUCGAGCGUCCGACCUUCCGGAAAGGGUAAGUUCCCCGCCGAGGGGCUCCGAGGGAGCCCGAACUUCGGAAUCUGGGCUCUCCCCCCAGCUUCGGAGUUCGAGACUGGGUUUCCGCGCGCGGCAAGCCCCCAGGGCUUUCCGAAGCAUGGCCUGGCUCCAGGCCCCGUCCAUCUGGGGCUGGAGCGGCAGCAAAAUGUGCAGGAAGGCAGUCGACCGAGCAGCCUCAGAAGCUAAGGUCAGGCCCGUGGGGAAAGCGACCAGUGGUUUCCAGCGCCGGACGCGGGCGUCCCGGCCAGUUUGGCCGCAGACUCGGCUGCUUCCAGCAAAUAGAACCCGCGUGCCUUUUCUCCGUCAGGCCUCAAGAACUUUCCCGAGCAUCGCUUUCAUUUAUCAAAUUAUUAAUAAUUAUUUUUUACCCAAUGCAAGGCCCUUUGGGUGCAGCCUUUGCGCCCGCGGAUGCCCAAGAGCGCAACCCGAAAUCCUUCGCCCAAAACCUGGAAACGGGUUCCCAUUUGACCUCUGGGCUGAGGUGAGCCGGAAACCGAGGCCUGGGCCCCAAAGGGGAAAGCGAAACUCCGAGCGGAGCGAGCUCUUUUCCUUUCAGUUCCUUUCUCUCGCAUCCCCAGCGCGGGCCCCGCAAUCACCCGGACCGACUCACGAAAGAUUCCGCAGGCUCACCUUCCGAACCCGCUGUCCCAGAGGGGCCGGAGGCCGCACCACGGAUAGAAUAAACCGAAGACCUCAACUAGAGUUGAGAAGCUCCAUUCUUUCCCCAAUCACUGGACAGUUAACUGGAAAGAGAGACUUGGAGAUACAAACUUCCUCCCUUCUUUCGGAGGACUGAGGCUUUUCCCGAACCGCCCCCAGCUCGGUUUUCUCCCGAAAUGUGUUUUCCUCAUUUUGCAAAAUUCCUGCCCAGAUUUUAAUAUUGCCAUGCCUAGGAGAACAGAGCUUCCCAGUUUAAAAAUCGAAAACAAGAAAACCAGGGCGUCCGCUGUGAAUCUUUUUCCUUCACUCUUGCCUUCUACUUUUAAGAAAGCCGCAUCCCAAACCACCAUAUUUCUUUCCUCCCCGAAGAGAACUCGCUUAAGAAUUCAGUUUCCGUUUCUCCCCCGACGUGUCCCCGCCUGACUCGGAUCUCUGUGGAAGGCAGAAAGUAGGUAGAAGUGCGGAUAGGGCUGGGAAAAAUUAGUAAGAAUUGUAACAACAGUGUUAAAUGAUGGCAAAAGUUAACUUUGACCAACUCGUUUUGCAAAAAAAAGAAAAAAAGGUCAGACUGAGGGUGGGAAAAUCUCUCCUUUCUCAGGGGGUCACUUUGCCUGCUGCCUACUUAAAUCUGGCUUUAUUAUGUUUUUUCCAGGACUUUAGUGUCGUCCUUCCCAAUGUCUUCUUCGCUUCUCGGUUUCCUGCUUUUUGACCGGAAGUAUUCGGGAACACUAGCGGUUAUUAUUUCAGAAUAUCCAGUAUUCUCCAAUAUUUCCACCAAGAAUUAGCACUGAUACUUACUUUAUCAAUUAGGCGUGUUGAUGUUGUUUCUUGUGCUUUAGAACUAUCCGUCCCCACUCCCUCAAAUUUGGAGGAUGAGACCCCUCCCUACGACCACCACCACCCGCUUCAGGUUAAUGAAAUAAGAAAUGGCUGUGGGAACAUCGUUCUAGAGACUCAGCGGAGCUAUCAGUGCUGGAGAUUCCCAAGCUCCAAAGGAUCGGAGAAAGCAGUAUUACACUUAGGAUGCAAAGGAGCCCCAGAUCUUGCCCCUUCUGAUUUGGCAAGUCCACAGUGGAAGAGAAAGCUCGGGCCGCUGCGGGUCUCCUCUGGCCUCCUGGUGCUGGGUUUCUGGCUUCUGGGGGCAGCCCCGACAGAAGGGUCCGGAAGUAGGGACCCUGAACAUCUCACUCCCCCAUCAUAGCCACAAUCACAUCCGGAAAACACUGGGGUGAAACCGACAGAGGCUGGCCGUGGGGUGCGACUGACAGGUUCUUAGUGGAAAAGUUCCCGGCAAUUGUUUCCGCAAGGGCCCUGGGUUUCCUGGUCGCCAUGGCAACCCCGAAGUGCCCCCCUUGUACGCUCUCGACCACCGGGCGCCCGGAGGACAAUCGCCUCGUACUUUGGCCGCGCGCUCUGAGGCCUGCAAGGCGCUUCCGCCCUUUGGUCUGGGCUUUCCGGAGGCUCUUCUGUGGAUUCAACACGGCAGGGAUUGAAAAACUCCUCUCCUUUUUUAAACGAGGGAGAAAAUCUAGGAUUUCGUAGAAUCUCUGCAGGGUCGGUUGGGGGGGCGGUCUCCAGCAAAAGCUCCCACUUUUGUACUGAGAGAGAUGACUUCCGAGACGCGCGCCCACGCAGCGAGUUGGAUACAUCCAUUCAAGCCCGCAUCCAGAACAUCUCAGCGCGGGAGGGGGGAUGGGCUUUGAGGAAUCGGGGGUCUCUUAACAUUCACUGGUCACCCCCAUCAGCACCCGAGUUUCCCCACGUUCUUUCCAGGUAACCCUUUCUCCUGCCUGGAAUAAGGUCUCCUAAGAAGGAGGAGAGACGUGGGGAAAUUAAUGUUUGCAAGAUCUUAAGAAAAAAAAAUAAACUAUACUCCUUUUUAAAGGAGAAAAA
This is a long non-coding RNA of Bubalus bubalis (water buffalo), 4410 nucleotides long. RefSeq lists it as uncharacterized. The record is from RefSeq and is a predicted model, not a curated record. Lineage: Eukaryota; Metazoa; Chordata; Mammalia; Artiodactyla; Bovidae. The transcript has 3 exons.